Setaria italica (foxtail millet) is the source of this 762-nucleotide long non-coding RNA. RefSeq lists it as uncharacterized. Lineage: Eukaryota; Viridiplantae; Streptophyta; Magnoliopsida; Poales; Poaceae. The record is from RefSeq and is a predicted model, not a curated record. The transcript has 3 exons.
GGAACUGACAAAAUAGAAGCUCCUUGUUCCUUCCUGCAGCAGAGCACACCAAGAACCACUUUAGAAGCAUCCAAUCCUUGAUGGUGAAGGACCAUCAUGCCAUUCCAACCCCUCUGUAACAACCUGGUGACAACCACCCAUAGAGAGAGACACGGUGGAGGAGAAGGGGAGCUCACCAGAUGAGGAAGUCAAGAAGAGAGCGAGCUGAUCAAGAAGAAAGACCAUCCAAGGAGUGAAGAUCUUGUAGGAGAAUCAGAAGCUAAGGUCUGCAGUUAGACACCAUCAAGCUUAAGAAACAUGGAAAGCAUGGAGACAAGCAUUUAAGAGAUGAACUUUUCUUGGGAGCUCGGGCAAGUCAGGAGACGACAGACGAUGGUCUUAUUGCAGAACAAACGAUGUACAUAAAAAGGUGCCAAGUCAAGAAUGCAUGACAAAUACUACAUAUGUAAAUUUGAUAUAAAGUUGUUAUUUUAUUUCUUUUAAGUAAUAUUAGUUAGCUCUUUUAUGUUGAAAUGUAAUGAAUAAUGUAAAGUCCUAACUAUUGUUCUGCUGCAUCACUCUGAUUAGGGUCAUUAUUCGAGAAAGCGUUGCUUUGGUAGUGAAAAUGCGGGGAGUUAUAUUUCCCUGCAAAGGAGCUCCUCAUUGAGUCCUCUACUAUUAGCCUAUUAGCCGCUUCUACAUCAAGCCUUGGAUUCGCUUCAAAUCAGAUUCUAGAAAGACGGAAACUAAGAAAUUUGUAAUAGACCCAAGGCCUUCAAAAAC